Molecule: ribosomal RNA, 570 nt
Filed under: Lactiplantibacillus plantarum
Lineage: Bacteria; Bacillati; Bacillota; Bacilli; Lactobacillales; Lactobacillaceae
Description: bacterial SSU rRNA
Rfam family: Bacterial small subunit ribosomal RNA
Source: RNAcentral
AACGAACUCUGGUAUUGAUUGGUGCUUGCAUCAUGAUUUACAUUUGAGUGAGUGGCGAACUGGUGAGUAACACGUGGGAAACCUGCCCAGAAGCGGGGGAUAACACCUGGAAACAGAUGCUAAUACCGCAUAACAACUUGGACCGCAUGGUCCGAGCUUGAAAGAUGGCUUCGGCUAUCACUUUUGGAUGGUCCCGCGGCGUAUUAGCUAGAUGGUGGGGUAACGGCUCACCAUGGCAAUGAUACGUAGCCGACCUGAGAGGGUAAUCGGCCACAUUGGGACUGAGACACGGCCCAAACUCCUACGGGAGGCAGCAGUAGGGAAUCUUCCACAAUGGACGAAAGUCUGAUGGAGCAACGCCGCGUGAGUGAAGAAGGGUUUCGGCUCGUAAAACUCUGUUGUUAAAGAAGAACAUAUCUGAGAGUAACUGUUCAGGUAUUGACGGUAUUUAACCAGAAAGCCACGGCUAACUACGUGCCAGCAGCCGCGGUAAUACGUAGGUGGCAAGCGUUGUCCGGAUUUAUUGGGCGUAAAGCGAGCGCAGGCGGUUUUUUAAGUCUGAUGUGAAAG